AGAGUUUGAUUAUGGCUCAGAUUGAACGCUGGCGGCAGGCCUAACACAUGCAAGUCGAGCGGUAGAGAGAAGCUUGCUUCUCUUGAGAGCGGCGGACGGGUGAGUAAUGCCUAGGAAUCUGCCUGGUAGUGGGGGAUAACGUUCGGAAACGGACGCUAAUACCGCAUACGUCCUACGGGAGAAAGCAGGGGACCUUCGGGCCUUGCGCUAUCAGAUGAGCCUAGGUCGGAUUAGCUAGUUGGUGAGGUAAUGGCUCACCAAGGCGACGAUCCGUAACUGGUCUGAGAGGAUGAUCAGUCACACUGGAACUGAGACACGGUCCAGACUCCUACGGGAGGCAGCAGUGGGGAAUAUUGGACAAUGGGCGAAAGCCUGAUCCAGCCAUGCCGCGUGUGUGAAGAAGGUCUUCGGAUUGUAAAGCACUUUAAGUUGGGAGGAAGGGCAGUUACCUAAUACGUGAUUGUUUUGACGUUACCGACAGAAUAAGCACCGGCUAACUCUGUGCCAGCAGCCGCGGUAAUACAGAGGGUGCAAGCGUUAAUCGGAAUUACUGGGCGUAAAGCGCGCGUAGGUGGUUAGUUAAGUUGGAUGUGAAAUCCCCGGGCUCAACCUGGGAACUGCAUUCAAAACUGACUGACUAGAGUAUGGUAGAGGGUGGUGGAAUUUCCUGUGUAGCGGUGAAAUGCGUAGAUAUAGGAAGGAACACCAGUGGCGAAGGCGACCACCUGGACUGAUACUGUCACUGACGUGCGAAAGCGUGGGGAGCAAACAGGAUUAGAUACCCUGGUAGUCCACGCCGUAAACGAUGUCAACUAGCCCUUGGGAGCCUUGAGCUCUUAGUGGCGCAGCUAACGCAUUAAGUUGACCGCCUGGGGAGUACGGCCGCAAGGUUAAAACUCAAAUGAAUUGACGG
RNAcentral lists this ribosomal RNA (913 nucleotides) under uncultured bacterium. RNAcentral's name for it is "bacterial SSU rRNA". It matches the Rfam family "Bacterial small subunit ribosomal RNA", at positions 8 to 916 of the family's 1533-position model. The record is from RNAcentral.